Molecule: ribosomal RNA, 567 nt
Filed under: Verticillium albo-atrum
Lineage: Eukaryota; Fungi; Ascomycota; Sordariomycetes; Glomerellales; Plectosphaerellaceae
Description: eukaryotic LSU rRNA
Rfam family: 5.8S ribosomal RNA (bases 185-338)
Source: RNAcentral
UGGAAGUAAAAGUCGUAACAAGGUCUCCGUUGGUGAACCAGCGGAGGGAUCAUUACCGAGUAUCUACUCAUAACCCUUUGUGAACCAUAUUGUUGCUUCGGCGGCUCGUUCUGCGAGCCCGCCGGUACAUCAGUCUCUUUAUUCAUACCAACGAUACUUCUGAGUGUUCUUAGCGAACUAUUAAAACUUUUAACAACGGAUCUCUUGGCUCUAGCAUCGAUGAAGAACGCAGCGAAACGCGAUAUGUAGUGUGAAUUGCAGAAUUCAGUGAAUCAUCGAAUCUUUGAACGCACAUGGCGCCUUCCAGUAUCCUGGGAGGCAUGCCUGUCCGAGCGUCGUUUCAACCCUCGAGCCCCAGUGGCCCGGUGUUGGGGAUCUACGUCUGUAGGCCCUUAAAAGCAGUGGCGGACCCGCGUGGCCCUUCCUUGCGUAGUAAUUACAGCUCGCAUCGGAGUCCCGCAGGCACUUGCCUCUAAACCCCCUACAAGCCCGCCUCGUGCGGCAACGGUUGACCUCGGAUCAGGUAGGAAUACCCGCUGAACUUAAGCAUAUCAAUAAGCGGAGGAA